RNAcentral lists this ribosomal RNA (292 nucleotides) under uncultured bacterium. RNAcentral's name for it is "partial 16S ribosomal RNA". It matches the Rfam family "Bacterial small subunit ribosomal RNA", at positions 505 to 796 of the family's 1533-position model. The record is from RNAcentral.
GUGCCAGCCGCCGCGGUAAUACGUAGGUGGCGAGCGUUGUCCGGAUUUAUUGGGUUUAAAGGGUGCGUAGGCGGUCCUAUAAGUCAGUGGUGAAAUAUCGCAGCUUAACUGUGAGGGUGCCAUUGAUACUGUAGGACUUGAGUGAAUUUGAGGUAGGCGGAAUUGACGGUGUAGCGGUGAAAUGCUUAGAUAUCGUCAAGAACACCGAUAGUGAAGACAGCUUACCAAGCUUCAACUGACGCUGAGGCACGAAAGUGUGGGGAUCAAACAGGAUUAGAUACCCUUGUAGUCC